GGCGGCAGGCCUACACAUGCAAGUCGAGCGCGAAAAGCCUUCGGGCUGAGUAAAGCGGCGGACGGGUGAGUAACGCGUAGGAAUCUACCUGGUAGUGGGGGACAACUUGGGGAAACUCAAGCUAAUACCGCAUACGCCCUAAGGGGGAAAGCGGGGGACCUUCGGGCCUCGCGCUAUCAGAUGAGCCUGCGUAGGAUUAGCUAGUUGGUGGGGUAAAGGCCCACCGAGGCGACGAUCCUUAGCUUGGUCUUGAGAGGAUGAUCAGCCACGCUGGAACUUGAGACACGGUCCAGACUCCUACGGGAGGCAGCAGUGGGGAAUAUUGCGCAAUGGGCGAAAGCCUGACGCAGCCAUGCCGCGUGUGUGAAGAAGGCCUUAGGGUUGUAAAGCACUUUCAAUUGGGAAGAAAAGCUUGUCGUUAAUAGCGGCAAGCCCUGACAUUACCUUUAGAAGAAGCACCGGCUAACUCCGUGCCAGCAGCCGCGGUAAUACGGAGGGUGCGAGCGUUAAUCGGAAUUACUGGGGCGUAAAGCGCGCGUAGGCGGUUUGUUAAGUCAGCUGUGAAAGCCCCGGGCUCAACCUGGGAACUGCAGUUGAUACUGGCCGACUAGAGUACGAGAGAGGGAGGUAGAAUUCCAUGUGUAGCGGUGAAAUGCGUAGAUAUAUGGAGGAAUACCAGUGGCGAAGGCGGCCUCCUGGCUCGAUACUGACGCUGAGGUGCCGAAAGCCGUGGGGAUCAAACAGGAUUAGAUACCCUGGUAGUCCACGCCGU
Molecule: ribosomal RNA, 772 nt
Filed under: uncultured Gammaproteobacteria bacterium
Lineage: Bacteria; Pseudomonadati; Pseudomonadota; Gammaproteobacteria
Description: bacterial SSU rRNA
Rfam family: Bacterial small subunit ribosomal RNA
Source: RNAcentral